ACGAACGCUGGCGGCGUGCUUAACACAUGCAAGUCGAACGGAAAGGCCCUGCUUUUGUGGGGUGCUCGCGUGGCGAACGGGUGAGUAACACGUGAGUAACCUGCCCUUGACUUUGGGAUAACUUCAGGAAACUGGGGCUAAUACCGGAUAGGAGCUCCUGCUUCUUGGUGGGGGUUGGAAAGUUUCGGCGGUUGGGGAUGGACUCGCGGCUUAUCAGCUUGUUGGUGGGGUAGUGGCUUACCAAGGCUUUGACGGGUAGCCGGCCUGAGAGGGUGACCGGCCACAUUGGGACUGAGAGACGGCCCAGACGACUACGGGAGGCAAGAGGGGGGAAUAUUGCACAAUGGGCGGAAGCCUGAUGCAGCAACGCCGCGUGCGGGAGGACGGCCUUCGGGUUGUAAACCGCUUUCGCCUGUGACGAAGCGUGAGUGACGGUAAUGGGUAAAGAAGCACCGGCUAACUACGU
This 466-nucleotide ribosomal RNA is filed under the name uncultured bacterium. RNAcentral describes it as "partial 16S ribosomal RNA". It matches the Rfam family "Bacterial small subunit ribosomal RNA", at positions 29 to 506 of the family's 1533-position model. The record is from RNAcentral.